RNAcentral lists this long non-coding RNA (1313 nucleotides) under Crocodylus porosus (Australian saltwater crocodile). RNAcentral's name for it is "lncRNA (ENSCPRG00005018979.1)". Lineage: Eukaryota; Metazoa; Chordata; Crocodylia; Crocodylidae. The record is from RNAcentral.
CAGCAAGGUUACAGCCACUCAGGCUUCUCCAGCCUUUGUUUUCUAGGUUUAGUUGCAACAGAGAUCUUAAGUUAAUAGAGAACUCAUUUCUGUGUGUUUUACUGCUAAUGGUUAAAGUGUUUGGAUCAGAAACAAUGCAAAUUAUAUCAAGAGAAAAAUAUGGGGAGCUAUCCCAAGAGCAGAGACCCAGCUUUUGUCAAGCUUUUUCUUAUUUUGAGUGGUAAGGAUCUGCUACAGAUCUUAGAAUAGAAUGAGAUUUUUUUUUAACAUGGAAACACAUGAUUUCCAAUACACUUCCUUGGGUAGCGUAACUGGUUUUAACAGAAUACUACAUCCAGUCAUGUACUGUAUAUGUGUUCACGUCAACAUGAAACUCCAGAUGAUUUAUACCUUGACAUCCUGGCCUAUGGCCAUACACCAAAAGCAAGAUCCAUUCACGGGAUGAUACACACAUCUUUCCACCACAGAGAAAUCGUUUGGAAAACAGAAAGCUAUUUUCUAGGAAAGAAGGUUUGGGAAUUGCAAGUAUCAGAGCAUACAGAAGUCCAGUCGUCCUUAUGGGUGCAGAAGCUAAUCCAUGGGAAAUGUCUUUCCAUUAGCUUUGGAUGGCUAUGGGUCAAGAUGGAUGAGUGUGAAGUGUUAUCAUUAUACACCAAGAAUGCUAGCACUCAACACACAUGCAUAACAUGGGCAAAAGCUUGGCCCACAGCAUAAAUAUCAAUACAGCAUAAAUCCUGCAAGCAGCAACAUGAGCACAUUUCAGUUAGCUCAUCUCCCUGAUUCUGCCUCUUCUGAAAACCUGUAGCUAAAUCACUUCACCUGCCAUCCCUGGGGAAGAGGAAUGGAUCUGCAGCUGCCUUUUUUUUUUGAAAAUACGUUGGCAUUACUUGUUCUAAUACAAAGCCAAACAUGAAAAUUCCAGGAGCCCAUUCUAGGAGCUGGAAGAAUAAGGGGUUUAGUUUCACCAGCUUUGCAGUGUGUGUGUGUGUGUGUCUAUUUGCUGAUGAGCUGUGGGGAGAUUGCUAUCAUUACUUUCCCCACAAGUUGCCCCCACAAAAUUUCCAUCCCCUAUUGUGAAACUCUCAUGAGAUCAGUGAGUUUAGUUAUCUUGGGCCAAAAUCUAUUCUGAUGAGACUCUUGCUACAGACAAAUAGGAAACAGCUGCCUUGGGCUGCACACAUGCAUCUUGUGAUGUCUCCAAGCCCUUUGAGAUGGUGCAAGAGGCACAUGCAGGAGCAAGAAAAUGGGCAACCAGAGGCUCGGUCCUCCACAGAGAUGCUCUGGAAGCCUGCCAGAGCGUCCCUGUGGUUGGC